This 222-nucleotide long non-coding RNA is filed under the name Ananas comosus (pineapple). RNAcentral's name for it is "long non-coding RNA (ACOM_LNC027255)". The record is from RNAcentral. Lineage: Eukaryota; Viridiplantae; Streptophyta; Magnoliopsida; Poales; Bromeliaceae.
UACAUGUGAAAAAAUAUUUCAAUAUGAAAUAAUCAUCAGAAGAGUAAAUGGUUAAUAUUCGCCCUCGAAUACAAAUCUAUUAGCUUAAGCUUUUGGUUUGUGUGGAUUCCUUGGUACGAGCCUAACAACUUGUUUGUAGCGUCGAUAGUUCGCUGAAACUAGGAUCCUCUUCUGAGCAGCGUUGUGUGAUUGAUCUAUAAUAUAUUUUGAAUAUGUAAUGGA